GAAGAUGGCACUUGUGGCAAUUGCAAGAAGGAGAAGGUUAUUGAAUGACGAUGUCAUUGUUGCAUUGGCUGAUAGCUCCUGGAAAAUACUGGACUUGUCUGGUUCAGAUGUUUCGGAUUUUGGCCUAUCACAAGUGGUUAAAACAUGCAACCAUCUGCAAGCAGUUGAUAUAAGUCGCUGCAGCAAUCUCACAUCAGCCAGUGUAUCAGAACUCUUGCAGAACUGCCGGUCUCUGGAAAUAUUGAGAUGGGGAGGCUGCCCUCGGAGUGAGAACACAGCUCGUAGAUGCCUCCGUUUCUUGAAACCAAUACUAGAGAACGUGGAAGGAGAUUCUUGGGAGGAACUUGAUACCUUGGAAAUAGCUCAUGGUGCGACAUCCUUGCGUUGGCUUUUAUGGCCAAAAGUUGAAAAGGACCAGCUGGAGAUUCUUGGGAGGAACUUGAUACCUUGGAAAUAGCUCAUGGUGCGACAUCCUUGCGUUGGCUUUUAUGGCCAAAAGUUGAAAAGGACCAGCUGGAGAUUCUGUCUGAAGAAUGCCCACGAGUCAUAGUAAAUCCAAAGCCAUCGCCACUCGGUUACAGGGGGCUUGAUAUACCUAGAGAAGCAAG
Molecule: unclassified non-coding RNA, 608 nt
Filed under: Hevea brasiliensis (rubber tree)
Lineage: Eukaryota; Viridiplantae; Streptophyta; Magnoliopsida; Malpighiales; Euphorbiaceae
Source: RNAcentral